UGAGGAAUAUUGGUCAAUGGGCGCAAGCCUGAACCAGCCAUCCCGCGUGAAGGAAGACGGCCCUAUGGGUUGUAAACUUCUUUUGUACAUGAAGAAAGGGACCUACGGGUAGGUUCGUGACGGUAAUGUACGAAUAAGCAUCGGCUAACUCCGUGCCAGCAGCCGCGGUAAUACGGAGGAUGCGAGCGUUAUCCGGAUUCAUUGGGUUUAAAGGGUACGUAGGUGGCCCGGUAAGUCAGUGGUGAAAACCUGCCGCUUAACGGUAGGCGUGCCAUUGAUACUGUCGGGCUUGAGUGCAGUUGAGGCAGGCGGAAUGUGUAGUGUAGCGGUGAAAUGCAUAGAUAUUACACAGAACUCCGAUUGCGAAGGCAGCUUGCUAAAGUGCAACUGACGCUGAUGUACGAAAGCGUGGGUAGCGAACAGG
RNAcentral lists this ribosomal RNA (424 nucleotides) under uncultured bacterium. RNAcentral's name for it is "partial 16S ribosomal RNA". It matches the Rfam family "Bacterial small subunit ribosomal RNA", at positions 355 to 776 of the family's 1533-position model. The record is from RNAcentral. RNAcentral also lists the same sequence under 2 other names.